AACAUAUCACGAAAUAUCAUUUUGAGGAAUUCUAACAGAAGUUUCUAUUGGUAGUGUAAGUUGGGCAAAGUGUCUUAUUUUUUUAAAGUAUUUAAAAGUAAAAUUACAUGUUAAUACGUAGUAUUAAUGGCGAGACUCCUGAGGGAGCAGUGCCAGUCGAAGACCGAGGCUGAGGCGGCACCCUAGGAAAGCGAAGCCAUUCAAUACGAAGUAUUGUAUAAAUAUAGAACAGCAG
RNAcentral lists this non-coding RNA (235 nucleotides) under Staphylococcus aureus. It matches the Rfam family "S. aureus tsr24 small RNA". Lineage: Bacteria; Bacillati; Bacillota; Bacilli; Caryophanales; Staphylococcaceae. The record is from RNAcentral.